CUUUCUUUCGAUGCCGACAGACUGUCAUACUCUUAUCCCUUGUUUGAGCAGGGGAGAAAAGGUAGGAAAAGGAAAGGAAAUCGGGGGAGGUCAAGAAAUUUAGGGUUCUUGGAUUAAGGUUUUCACAAUUUUAUAGAUUUUAUAAAAACUUUAUAGAUUUAUUUACGUUCUCUUAUUCAAUAUGCAUAUUAAAUCUAUAUUUGGUCUGUAUUGUAGUGUCAUUUGUGGUCCUUGAUUGUUAUAUCUCAGUGACCAAAAGCAAACCUGUUCUGUAGAUUUAGAAUACUCUUUUCAUAAUAGAUGGUGGAAAGCUCUGAAACUAUGAAAGAGUUUUUUAUUGUGAAAAAAGAAAAAGGAAAAAAAAAAGAAAAGCCACAGGAUUACCAGGAAUUUGGACAAGUGUUUCAGGAUGAUCAUACUGAAAAAGCAACGUGGCAAAGAAAGAAUCAAGGGUUGACCAGAGAUUAAGAAAUCUAUUACAUCAAAUUAAUGUAAUUGGAUCAAGAAAAGAAAUUAAAAUAAAGUCUGACCAAGAAUAAAUUAAUUAAUAUCAUAAGGAACAAGAUUAUCUUUUCUUGGUUUUAGUCUCCUGUUGGUGUUUCAUCUUCACAUGCAAAUAUAUCUUUAAAAAUCUGCAG
RNAcentral lists this long non-coding RNA (638 nucleotides) under Ricinus communis (castor bean). RNAcentral describes it as "long non-coding RNA (RCOM_LNC002132)". Lineage: Eukaryota; Viridiplantae; Streptophyta; Magnoliopsida; Malpighiales; Euphorbiaceae. The record is from RNAcentral.